UACAGAGGGUGCGAGCGUUGUCCGGAAUCACUGGGCGUAAAGGGCGCGUAGGCGGCCUGAUAAGUAGGGGGUGAAAUCCUGCGGCUUAACCGCAGGGCUGCCUUCUAAACUGUCGGGCUCGAGCACAGUAGAGGCAGGUGGAAUUCCCGGUGUAGCGGUGGAAUGCGUAGAGAUCGGGAAGAACAUCAGUGGCGAAGGCGGCCUGCUGGGCUGUUGCUGACGCUGAGGCGCGACAGCGUGGGGAGCAGACAGG
This 253-nucleotide ribosomal RNA is filed under the name uncultured bacterium. RNAcentral describes it as "partial 16S ribosomal RNA". It matches the Rfam family "Bacterial small subunit ribosomal RNA", at positions 524 to 776 of the family's 1533-position model. The record is from RNAcentral.